Molecule: non-coding RNA, 202 nt
Organism: Pelobates cultripes (western spadefoot toad)
Lineage: Eukaryota; Metazoa; Chordata; Amphibia; Anura; Pelobatidae
Source: the annotation of a GenBank genome assembly
CUAACCUGUAAAAUAAAAGUAAACUUACCAUUCGACGUCUUCUUUUUUCUCAAAUCUUCAUUUUUCAGCCCCAAAAAAGGCCAAAUAAAAAACCAUCAUAACCGUCGAAUUGAAAAUAAAAUAAAAAUCCUGAGCGCAAAAAAAAAACCUGACGAAAAAGAAAAAACCCGAGCGCAAAAAAAUAAUCCAUCUUCACCCAUGG